UGCCAGCCGCCGCGGUAAGACGGAGGGUGCAAACGUUGUUCGGAAUCACUGGGCAUAAAGCGCACGUAGGCGGCCAAGACAGUUCGGUGUGAAAGCCCUCGGCUCAACCGGGGAACUGCAUCGGAUACUUCUUGGCUAGAGGACGGUUGGGGUGAGUGGAACUCCUGGUGGAGCGGUGAAAUGCGUAGAUAUCAGGAGGAACACCAGUGGCGAAAGCGGCUCACUGGGUCUUUACUGACGCUGAGGCACGAAAGCUAGGGGAGCUAACGGGAUUAGAUA
RNAcentral lists this ribosomal RNA (279 nucleotides) under uncultured bacterium. Its description in RNAcentral is "partial 16S ribosomal RNA". It matches the Rfam family "Bacterial small subunit ribosomal RNA", at positions 506 to 784 of the family's 1533-position model. The record is from RNAcentral.